GGUUAGUCAAGCGGUAAAGACGCUGGCCUUUCACGCCAGAAGCACGGGUUCGACUCCCGUAC
This 62-nucleotide transfer RNA is filed under the name human gut metagenome. It matches the Rfam family "tRNA", at positions 6 to 65 of the family's 71-position model. From Rfam's summary of the family: Transfer RNA (tRNA) molecules are approximately 80 nucleotides in length. Their secondary structure includes four short double-helical elements and three loops (D, anti-codon, and T loops). Further hydrogen bonds mediate the characteristic L-shaped molecular structure. tRNAs have two regions of fundamental functional importance: the anti-codon, which is responsible for specific mRNA codon recognition, and the 3' end, to which the tRNAs corresponding amino acid is attached (by aminoacyl-tRNA synthetases). tRNAs cope with the degeneracy of the genetic code in two manners: having more than one tRNA (with a specific anti-codon) for a particular amino acid; and 'wobble' base-pairing, i.e. permitting non-standard base-pairing at the 3rd anti-codon position. The record is from RNAcentral.